GACGAACGCUGGCGGCGUGCUUAACACAUGCAAGUCGAGCGAGGUCCAUCCAGGGGUAACCCUGGUGAAGACCUAGCGGCGAACGGGUGAGGAACACGUGAGCAACCUGUCCCGAAGACUGGGAUAACACCGGGAAACCGGUGCUAAUACCGGAUGCCCUCGAGUCACCGCAUGACGACACGAGGAAAUGGAUUCCGCUUCGGGAGGGGCUCGCGGCCUAUCAGCUUGUUGGUGGGGUAACGGCCCACCAAGGCUACGACGGGUAGCUGGUCUGAGA
Molecule: ribosomal RNA, 277 nt
Filed under: uncultured bacterium
Lineage: Bacteria
Description: partial 16S ribosomal RNA
Rfam family: Bacterial small subunit ribosomal RNA
Source: RNAcentral